CCUACGGGAGGCAGCAGUGGGGAAUAUUGCACAAUGGGGGAAACCCUGAUGCAGCGACGCCGCGUGAGCGAUGAAGUAUUUCGGUAUGUAAAGCUCUAUCAGCAGGGAAGAAAAUGACGGUACCUGACUAAGAAGCCCCGGCUAACUACGUGCCAGCAGCCGCGGUAAUACGUAGGGGGCAAGCGUUAUCCGGAUUUACUGGGUGUAAAGGGAGCGUAGACGGUCGUGCAAGCCUGAUGUGAAAGGCCGGGGCUCAACCCCGGGACUGCAUUGGAAACUGUACGGCUGGAGUGCAGGAGAGGCAGGCGGAAUUCCUAGUGUAGCGGUGAAAUGCGUAGAUAUUAGGAGGAACACCAGUGGCGAAGGCGGCCUGCUGGACGAUGACUGACGUUGAGGCUCGAAAGCGUGGGGAGCAAACAGGAUUAGAUACCCGAGUAGUC
This 440-nucleotide ribosomal RNA is filed under the name uncultured bacterium. RNAcentral describes it as "partial 16S ribosomal RNA". It matches the Rfam family "Bacterial small subunit ribosomal RNA", at positions 338 to 795 of the family's 1533-position model. The record is from RNAcentral.